UAACAUUUGAGUGAGUGGCGGACGGGUGAGUAACACGUGGGUAACCUGCCCUAAAGUGGGGGAUAACAUUUGGAAACAGAUGCUAAUACCGCAUAAAACCUAGCACCGCAUGGUGCAAGGUUGAAAGAUGGUUUCGGCUAUCACUUUAGGAUGGACCCGCGGUGCAUUAGUUAGUUGGUGAGGUAAAGGCUCACCAAGACCGUGAUGCAUAGCCGACCUGAGAGGGUAAUCGGCCACACUGGGACUGAGACACGGCCCAGACUCCUACGGGAGGCAGCAGUAGGGAAUCUUCCACAAUGGACGAAAGUCUGAUGGAGCAACGCCGCGUGAGUGAAGAAGGUUUUCGGAUCGUAAAACUCUGUUGUUGGAGAAGAACGUAUUUGAUAGUAACUGAUCAGGUAGUGACGGUAUCCAACCAGAAAGCCACGGCUAACUACGUGCCAGCAGCCGCGGUAAUACGUAGGUGGCAAGCGUUGUCCGGAUUUAUUGGGCGUAAAGCGAGCGCAGGCGGUUUCUUAAGUCUGAUGUGAAAGCCUUCGGCUCAACCGAAGAAGUGCAUCGGAAACUGGGAAACUUGAGUGCAGAAGAGGACAGUGGAACUCCAUGUGUAGCGGUGAAAUGCGUAGAUAUAUGGAAGAACACCAGUGGCGAAGGCGGCUGUCUGGUCUGUAACUGACGCUGAGGCUCGAAAGCAUGGGUAGCAAACAGGAUUAGAUACCCUGGUAGUCCAUGCCGUAAACGAUGAGUGCUAGGUGUUGGAGGGUUUCCGCCCUUCAGUGCCGCAGCUAACGCAUUAAGCACUCCGCCUGGGGAGUACGACCGCAAGGUUGAAACUCAAAGGAAUUGACGGGGGCCCGCACAAGCGGUGGAGCAUGUGGUUUAAUUCGAAGCAACGCGAAGAACCUUACCAGGUCUUGACAUCCUUUGACCACUCUAGAGAUAGAGCUUUCCCUUCGGGGACAAAGUGACAGGUGGUGCAUGGUUGUCGUCAGCUCGUGUCGUGAGAUGUUGGGGUUAAGUC
Molecule: ribosomal RNA, 1021 nt
Filed under: Latilactobacillus curvatus
Lineage: Bacteria; Bacillati; Bacillota; Bacilli; Lactobacillales; Lactobacillaceae
Description: bacterial SSU rRNA
Rfam family: Bacterial small subunit ribosomal RNA
Source: RNAcentral